UUGGUUAGAAACCUGUCGAUUGUUAAAAAGACAGUUGAAGCUUGGAGUCAUAAUUUAGAUUAGAUUUUAGGUUUUGGGUACUAUCACAAACAAUUUAUUG
Molecule: non-coding RNA, 100 nt
Organism: Chiloscyllium plagiosum (whitespotted bambooshark)
Lineage: Eukaryota; Metazoa; Chordata; Chondrichthyes; Orectolobiformes; Hemiscylliidae
Source: RefSeq, a predicted model, not a curated record